CAGCAGCCGCGGUAAUACAGAGGGUGCGAGCGUUAAUUGGAUUUACUGGGCGUAAAGCGUGCGUAGGCGGCUUUUUAAGUCGGAUGUGAAAUCCCUGAGCUUAACUUAGGAAUUGCAUUCGAUACUGGGAAGCUAGAGUAUGGGAGAGGAUGGUAGAAUUCCAGGUGUAGCGGUGAAAUGCGUAGAGAUCUGGAGGAAUACCGAUGGCGAAGGCAGCCAUCUGGCCUAAUACUGACGCUGAGGUACGAAAGCAUGGGGAGCAAACAGGAUUAGAUACCCCGGUAGUCCCUGUCUCUUAUAA
RNAcentral lists this ribosomal RNA (301 nucleotides) under uncultured bacterium. RNAcentral's name for it is "partial 16S ribosomal RNA". It matches the Rfam family "Bacterial small subunit ribosomal RNA", at positions 509 to 809 of the family's 1533-position model. The record is from RNAcentral.